CCUACGGGGGGCUGCAGUGGGGAAUAUUGCACAAUGGGGGCAACCCUGAUGCAGCGACGCCGCGUGAGUGAUGACGUAUUUCGGUAUGUAAAGCUCUAUCAGCAGGGGAGAAAAUGACGGUACCUGACUCAGUAGCCCCGGCUAACUACGUGUCAGCAGCCGCGGUAAUACGUAGGCGGCCAGCGUUAUCCGGAUUUACUGGGUGUAAAGGGAGCGUAGACGGUUAAUCAAGUCAGAAGUGAAAACCCAGGGCUCAACCUUGGGACUGCUAUUGAAACUGAGUAGCUAGAGUGCAGGAGAGGUAAGCGGAAUUCGUAGUGUAGCGGUGAAAUGCGUAGAUAUUAGGAGGAACACCAGUGGCGAAGGCGGCUUACUGGACUGUAACUGACGUUGAGGCUCGAAAGCGUGGGGAGCAAACAGGAUUAGAUACCCCAGUAGUC
RNAcentral lists this ribosomal RNA (440 nucleotides) under uncultured bacterium. Its description in RNAcentral is "partial 16S ribosomal RNA". It matches the Rfam family "Bacterial small subunit ribosomal RNA", at positions 338 to 795 of the family's 1533-position model. The record is from RNAcentral.